Molecule: ribosomal RNA, 377 nt
Filed under: uncultured bacterium
Lineage: Bacteria
Description: bacterial SSU rRNA
Rfam family: Bacterial small subunit ribosomal RNA
Source: RNAcentral
AGACGUAGGGGGCGAGCGUUGUCCGGAAUCAUUGGGCGUAAAGCGCGUGUAGGCGGCUCGGUAAGUCUGCUGUGAAAGUCCAGGGCUCAACCCUGGAAUGCCAGUGGAUACUGCCGAGCUCGAGUCCGGAAGAGGCGAGUGGAAUUCCUGGUGUAGCGGUGAAAUGCGCAGAUAUCAGGAGGAACACCGAUGGCGAAGGCAGCUCGCUGGGACGUGACUGACGCUGAGACGCGAAAGCGUGGGGAGCAAACAGGAUUAGAUACCCUGGUAGUCCACGCCGUAAACGAUGGGCACUAGGUGUGGGGGGUGUCGACUCCCUCCGUGCCGACGCUAACGCAUUAAGUGCCCCGCCUGGGGAGUACGGCCGCAAGGCUAAA